Molecule: ribosomal RNA, 599 nt
Filed under: uncultured bacterium
Lineage: Bacteria
Description: bacterial SSU rRNA
Rfam family: Bacterial small subunit ribosomal RNA
Source: RNAcentral
UGCAGGUCGAGGGGCAUCAGUUUGGUUUGCUUGCAAACCAAAGCUGGCGACCGGCGCACGGGUGAGUAACACGUAUCCAACCUGCCUCAUACUCGGGGAUAGCCUUUCGAAAGAAAGAUUAAUAUCCGAUAGCAUAUAUUUCCCGCAUGGGUUUUAUAUUAAAGAAAUUCGGUAUGAGAUGGGGAUGCGUUCCAUUAGUUUGUUGGGGGGGUAACGGCCCACCAAGACUACGAUGGAUAGGGGUUCUGAGAGGAAGGUCCCCCACAUUGGAACUGAGACACGGUCCAAACUCCUACGGGAGGCAGCAGUGAGGAAUAUUGGUCAAUGGACGCGAGUCUGAACCAGCCAAGUAGCGUGAAGGAUGACUGCCCUAUGGGUUGUAAACUUCUUUUAUAUGGGAAUAAAGUUGCCCACGUGUGGAUUUUUGUAUGUACCAUAUGAAUAAGGAUCGGCUAACUCCGUGCCAGCAGCCGCGGUAAUACGGAGGAUCCGAGCGUUAUCCGGAUUUAUUGGGUUUAAAGGGAGCGUAGGCGGAUUGUUAAGUCAGUUGUGAAAGUUUGCGGCUCAACCGUAAAAUUGCAGUUGAUACUGGCAGUCUU